Molecule: non-coding RNA, 306 nt
Organism: Condylura cristata (star-nosed mole)
Lineage: Eukaryota; Metazoa; Chordata; Mammalia; Eulipotyphla; Talpidae
Source: the annotation of a RefSeq genome assembly
AUGCUGUGGGCUCUGGCCCUGCUCCUGGCUUUCCUGGCUCCCGCCAGUCAGACAUCUUCCAACUCAGAAGGGAGAAAGAUAUCCCUAACCAAGCAGACUGGGUCUUUUGCUGAAAUCACCUGUGAUCUCCUAUCCAAAACCAUCACCUACAUGCACCUACAUGUACCGACACCAGGAGGGAAAAGCCCCACACCGCCUUCUCUACUUGGAGUUCUCUGGCUAAAGUUUGUGGUAGAUUCUGGAGUCAGUUUAGAAAAGUACCAUGCUUAUGAAUGGGCAGAUGGGAGCUGCAAAGUAGUUGUCUGA